UGACUCUCGACAACGGAUAUCCCGGCUCUCGCAUCGAUGAAGAACGUAGCGAAAUGCGAUACUUGGUGUGAAUUGCAGAAUCCCGUGAACCAUCGAGUCUUUGAACGCAAGUUGCGCCCGAAGCCAUCAGGCCGAGGGCACGUCUGCCUGGGUGUCACGC
This 160-nucleotide ribosomal RNA is filed under the name Pimpinella favifolia. Its description in RNAcentral is "5.8S ribosomal RNA". It matches the Rfam family "5.8S ribosomal RNA". Rfam says of the family: 5.8S ribosomal RNA (5.8S rRNA) is a component of the large subunit of the eukaryotic ribosome. It is transcribed by RNA polymerase I as part of the 45S precursor that also contains 18S and 28S rRNA. Lineage: Eukaryota; Viridiplantae; Streptophyta; Magnoliopsida; Apiales; Apiaceae. The record is from RNAcentral.